RNAcentral lists this ribosomal RNA (796 nucleotides) under uncultured Methanosarcinaceae archaeon. RNAcentral's name for it is "bacterial SSU rRNA". It matches the Rfam family "Archaeal small subunit ribosomal RNA", at positions 85 to 879 of the family's 1478-position model. The record is from RNAcentral. Lineage: Archaea; Methanobacteriati; Methanobacteriota; Methanomicrobia; Methanosarcinales; Methanosarcinaceae.
ACGGCUCAGUAACACGUGGAUAACCUGCCCUUGGGUCCGGCAUAACCCCGGGAAACUGGGGAUAAUUCCGGAUAACGCACAUAUGCUGGAAUGCUUUAUGCGUAAAAUGGAUUCGUCUGCCCAAGGAUGGGUCUGCGGCCUAUCAGGUAGUAGUGGGUGUAAUGUACCUACUAGCCAACAACGGGUACGGGUUGUGAGAGCAAGAGCCCGGAGAUGGAUUCUGAGACAUGAAUCCAGCCCCUACGGGGCGCAGCAGGCGCGAAAACUUUACAAUGCGGGAAACCGUGAUAAGGGGACACCGAGUGCCAGCAUCAUAUGCUGGCUGUCCGGGUGUGUAAAAUACACCUGUCAGCAAGGGCCGGGCAAGACCGGUGCCAGCCGCCGCGGUAACACCGGCGGCCCGAGUGGUGAUCGUGAUUAUUGGGUCUAAAGGGUCCGUAGCCGGUUUGGUCAGUCCUCCGGGAAAUCUGACGGCUCAACCGUUAGGCUUUCGGGGGAUACUGCCAGGCUUGGAACCGGGAGAGGUAAGAGGUACUACAGGGGUAGGAGUGAAAUCUUGUAAUCCCUGUGGGACCACCUGUGGCGAAGGCGUCUUACCAGAACGGGUUCGACGGUGAGGGACGAAAGCUGGGGGCACGAACCGGAUUAGAUACCCGGGUAGUCCCAGCCGUAAACGAUGCUCGCUAGGUGUCAGGCAUGGCGCGUCCGUGUCUGGUGCCGCAGGGAAGCCGUGAAGCGAGCCACCUGGGAAGUACGGCCGCAAGGCUGAAACUUAAAGGAAUUGGCGGGGGAGCAC